AGUGAGCCGGAUGGUCGCGUACCGUUCGCGGUGCGAGGAAAGUCCGGGCUCCAAAGGGCAAGAUGCCAGCUAACAGCUGGGCGGGGCGACCCGACGGAUCAGUGCCACAGAAAAGAAAACUCCCCUGUCGAAACGAGAGCGCAAGCCCUCGCCGCAGCAGGAGAAAAGCUGAAACGGUGCGGUAAGAGCGCACCAGUGCGUCGGCAACGGCGCAGCUUGGUAAACCCCAUCUGGAGCAAGCGCAAAUAGGAACGCGAUACGGCCGCCCUUCCGUGCGUUCGGGUUGCGUGCUAGAGAUGCGCGGCGACGCGCAUUCGAGAUAAAUGGCCGUCCUUCGACAGAACCCGGCUUACAGGCUCACUCGC
This 365-nucleotide RNase P RNA is filed under the name human gut metagenome. RNAcentral describes it as "Bacterial RNase P class A". It matches the Rfam family "Bacterial RNase P class A". Rfam says of the family: Ribonuclease P (RNase P) is a ubiquitous endoribonuclease, found in archaea, bacteria and eukarya as well as chloroplasts and mitochondria. Its best characterised activity is the generation of mature 5'-ends of tRNAs by cleaving the 5'-leader elements of precursor-tRNAs. The record is from RNAcentral.